This 253-nucleotide ribosomal RNA is filed under the name uncultured bacterium. Its description in RNAcentral is "partial 16S ribosomal RNA". It matches the Rfam family "Bacterial small subunit ribosomal RNA", at positions 524 to 776 of the family's 1533-position model. The record is from RNAcentral.
UACGUAGGGGGCGAGCGUUGUCCGGAAUUAUUGGGCGUAAAGAGCUCGUAGGCGGUCUGUUGCGUCCGCUGUGAAAACUCGGGGCUUAACCCCGAGCCUGCAGUGGAUACGGGCAGACUAGAGGUAGGUAGGGGAGAAUGGAAUUCCCGGUGUAGCGGUGAAAUGCGCAGAUAUCGGGAGGAACACCGGUGGCGAAGGCGGUUCUCUGGGCCUUACCUGACGCUGAGGAGCGAAAGCGUGGGGAGCGAACAGG